This is a long non-coding RNA of Camelus dromedarius (Arabian camel), 523 nucleotides long. RefSeq lists it as uncharacterized. The record is from RefSeq and is a predicted model, not a curated record. Lineage: Eukaryota; Metazoa; Chordata; Mammalia; Artiodactyla; Camelidae. The transcript is spliced from 3 exons.
GCCUUCUGCACACGCUGUGGGAGCUGUGCUCCCUUGGAUACAUACGUAGGCGGGGCCCCGGGGUGGGCUCCGCCCCCAGCUCCCGCUGACGCUGGGACUCAAAGUGGGAGGAAAAGAAGAGAGCAGGCUGGGGAGUCGGUUUAUGCUGCUCUACCUGCCCUGGGCCUAGAGACCCUCUCCCUUUGCUUUUCACGCUUGUUGUUCCUGAAUUUCACAGAGAUCCACCCUAUCCUAACAGCUGGCCCUGACUUUGCAGCCAAGAAGAGUGGUUUCUAUGGAGAAAGGAUGCCUAAUCCCACCCCACAAUGAAGAGUCUAGUUUUCACUUCCAGUUGCCAAACCUGAGGCUUUGUAAACUGCAGCGUAUACUCAGUGAAGACUCACCUGAGGAAGUAUGUGAAAAGGCAGACUCUAAUUCCUAAGUGUGCACCUGCCUGCGCUGGGAUCUUGAUGUAAACUGUUCAUGGGCCACACUCUUGAGAAACAUGAAAAAUGAUGGAAUGAAUGCCAAAAUGUAAAAUUAA